CAGUCGCCGCGGGAAUACGAAGGGGGCUAGCGUUGUUCGGAAUCACUGGGCGUAAAGGGUGCGUAGGCGGAUUCUUAAGUCAGGGGUGAAAUCCCGAGGCUCAACCUCGGAACUGCCUUUGAUACUGGGGAUCUUGAGUCCGGAAGAGGUGAGUGGAACUGCGAGUGUAGAGGUGAAAUUCGUAGAUAUUCGCAAGAACACCAGUGGCGAAGGCGGCUCACUGGUCCGGAACUGACGCUGAGGCACGACAGCGUGGGGAGCAAACAGGAUUAGAUACCCCUGUAGUCCCUGUCUCUUAUAC
RNAcentral lists this ribosomal RNA (301 nucleotides) under uncultured bacterium. Its description in RNAcentral is "partial 16S ribosomal RNA". It matches the Rfam family "Bacterial small subunit ribosomal RNA", at positions 509 to 807 of the family's 1533-position model. The record is from RNAcentral.